AUGCCAUGAUGAGGACAUCUUCUCAAGAGUUCCUUAAACUAUUCCUAAGUUUCAUACAAUGAAUCUCCCUCAUUCUGGCACAAAUUAUUAAUCUCUCCCCUCAAUUU
This is a small nucleolar RNA of Humulus lupulus (European hop), 107 nucleotides long. The record is from RefSeq and is a predicted model, not a curated record. NCBI's taxonomy places the organism in Eukaryota, Viridiplantae, Streptophyta, Magnoliopsida, Rosales, Cannabaceae.